UAUGGAAGGGGCUAGCGCUGUGCGGCAUUACUGGGCGUAAAGAGCGCGUAGGCGGCUUACCAAGUUGGGGGUGAAAUCCCGGAGCUCAACUCCGGAACUGCCUUCAAAACUGGUAGGCUCGAGUCCGGAAGAGGGGCGUGGAAUUCCCAGUGUAGAGGUGAAAUUCGUAGAUAUUGGGAAGAACACCGGUGGCGAAGGCGGCGCCCUGGUCCGGUACUGACGCUGAGGCGCGAAAGCGUGGGGAGCAAACAGG
Molecule: ribosomal RNA, 253 nt
Filed under: uncultured bacterium
Lineage: Bacteria
Description: partial 16S ribosomal RNA
Rfam family: Bacterial small subunit ribosomal RNA
Source: RNAcentral